GGGCCCGCACAAGCGGUGGAGUAUGUGGUUUAAUUCGAUGCAACGCGAAGAACCUUACCAGGGUUUGACAUCCUGCGAAUCUCUUGGAAACAGGAGAGUGCCUUCGGGAACGCAGUGACAGGUGGUGCAUGGCUGUCGUCAGCUCGUGUCGUGAGAUGUUGGGUUAAGUCCCGCAACGAGCGCAACCCACGUCUUUAGUUGCCAUCAUUAAGUUGGGCACUCUGAAAGAACUGCCAGUGAUAAGCUGGAGGAAGGUGGGGAUGACGUCAAGUCCUCAUGGCCCUUACGUGUUGGGCUACACACGUGCUACAAUGGUAGUGACAAUGGGUUAAUCCCCAAAAACUAUCUCAGUUCGGAUUGUCGUCUGCAACUCGACGGCAUGAAGUCGGAAUCGCUAGUAAUCG
This 404-nucleotide ribosomal RNA is filed under the name uncultured bacterium. Its description in RNAcentral is "bacterial SSU rRNA". It matches the Rfam family "Bacterial small subunit ribosomal RNA", at positions 917 to 1344 of the family's 1533-position model. The record is from RNAcentral.